AUUGAACGCUGGCGGCAGGCCUAACACAUGCAAGUCGAGCGGAUGAAGGGAGCUUGCUCCUGGAUUCAGCGGCGGACGGGUGAGUAAUGCCUAGGAAUCUGCCUGGUAGUGGGGGAUAACGUCCGGAAACGGGCGCUAAUACCGCAUACGUCCUGAGGGAGAAAGUGGGGGAUCUUCGGGCCUCACGCUAUCAGAUGAGCCUAGGUCGGAUUAGCUAGUUGGUGGGGUAAAGGCCUACCAAGGCGACGAUCCGUAACUGGUCUGAGAGGAUGAUCAGUCACACUGGAACUGAGACACGGUCCAGACUCCUACGGGAGGCAGCAGUGGGGAAUAUUGGACAAUGGGCGAAAGCCUGAUCCAGCCAUGCCGCGUGUGUGAAGAAGGUCUUCGGAUUGUAAAGCACUUUAAGUUGGGAGGAAGGGCAGUAAGUUAAUACCUUGCUGUUUUGACGUUACCUACAGAAUAAGCACCGGCUAACUUCGUG
RNAcentral lists this ribosomal RNA (484 nucleotides) under uncultured bacterium. RNAcentral's name for it is "partial 16S ribosomal RNA". It matches the Rfam family "Bacterial small subunit ribosomal RNA", at positions 30 to 507 of the family's 1533-position model. The record is from RNAcentral.